CACAUACGCUUCGACUUGUGCGUCGACGAAGGGGAGGACGGAGAGGGGGCUCGACCACAGCGCAACCGCCCUUCCCUUCAGAAGCGGCCCAUUCACAUCGCCGCCUUCAUCUCUUCUUAUCACGCUUCCUCCCUUUGCUUCGUAUCUCCCUGUGUGUGCGAUCAUCAUCAGCGCCGCCUACUUCUUCCCCCCUCCCUUCCCCCUCCUCCCAUGAAGUACUUCUCGUGUCAGCCGGACUCCCACAACGCGUUCGGGUCGUUGACGAACGGCGUUCUGACGUACUUCACGGUGGACUGCGCGCGCUACCGACGCGUGGCGGCGAACGGCAUUGACGAUGCGGCAGAGCUGCACACCCCUGCCACAGGGGAAGGCGCGGCUGUAGGAGGCAGCGCGCCAUCGCAGUGGCCCGGCCAGCAUCCCUUCACGGCUUCCUCCUCGUCCACCAGCCACAGCGCAGGGUAUGGUGUUACCCAGCACGACGUGCACUUCACCACCGAAACGCGCAUGCACAUCCAGCGCACGCUGACCCUGCCAAGCCCCUUCCAAGGAACUCAGUGCUUCUUUAGCAUGGCAAAUCGUACCGUCUUUGGCACCGAUAUGGCGUUCAUCGGUGCCGCCAACGGCUUAUUGGCCCUCGCCGUGCUUCAGGAGGAUCUGCUGCUGUACGUGCGAGGAAAAGACCCGCAGAGCCUGCGUGAGCAACUGCAGCGUGAACAUGCGGAGUCGUCCUCUAUCCUGAGGCGUUGCUCCGCCUCGUUGGCGUCGGUCUCCGCCUCCGACAGCGGCGUGACCGUCCGUCGGCCUCCCUCGCCGCCAGCCACCUCUCUGACGCUGUUAUCCCCAUCGAAGGGCGGAGCUGGAGGCGGCCGCCCUCUCUCUUUCCCUUCCUUCACUGGUGGUGCCGCUGCUGCGGCGAGGACCAGCAGGUCGUCCUCGUCGUUCCAGGGGAGGGAUCCCUCUUCCAACGCAGCCGCCUCCACGUCACUGUCGCCGCACAGAGGCAGAGGGGUAGUCCGUGGACUGUAUCGCAGAGACGCUCCUUCCACGAUUACAUGGAUGCGCAACAAACCGCUCGUGCUGGUGGGCUACACCUCAGGGUGGGUGGAGUGGUACGAGGUAUCUAUCUCUGCUGCAUACCGGAAAGAGUUGCUGGACCCGGCGAAGGAGAUCCCAUACGGCGCGUCGGUGACGCCUAGCGCCUUUGCCUACCGGGCCCUGAACCGUGACUCCCUCACCAGCCACGCCGCCCGCGUCGCUGUCGGAGGCCAGAUAGCGGGCCUGCGGGCUGAGCUGGUCGCCUCGUGCGUUCUUGCGGAGGCUGGAGCACUUGUGUCCAGCGACUACUUCGCCGCCAACGGCACGGUCGCCGUUGGGAGCGAGCGCGGCAUCAUCUUCCUGUUCGACGCCGACCAGCUAGAGACACCGCUGUGCGAGGUGCAACUGAGCACGCCGAGCGCGGCCUUCCUAUAUUGUCACCCUUUCCUACCCAUUGUAGGUGUGCUGUCGCAAUCCGUCUGGACCGGAGCAGAGGAGCAGACGACCUCGACGGCAGCAGCAGCGGCGCGGAGGAGACGGGACAACAGCCCGACCUUGCACCUUACGGACAGCCACAACAGUGACGUGGUGAGGCCAUCGGUAGGCCAGGCGGACGGCGCCGUCGGCGCUGGUGUAGGAGGUCCGCAGCGUGGCGUCACGAGCGGCAAGCGCGGCCCGACGGCCUUUCCACUCGUACCGCUGCAGGGCUCACGAAGUGACCUGGGCAGCGGCCCGCAGCAGCACUCCUCUCCUUCCGGAGCCACGCCGUCGGCAGCAGCCCAGGGGACGCCGAAGCCGGACCGUCACGUCGGGUGGCAUGAAGUGAGUCCUGCGGCGCUGAUGAGCGGGGAAAACGUCGCUGAGGCCUUCUCGAGCGGCAUCGAUGCAACGUCACCGUUUGGGCUCUACAGUAGCGGUAGCGCCGUUCCCGAGGCCGGCGCUGCUUCGGCGUUGCACUCCGGCUGCUUGCUGACGUUUGUUGAGUACCGCAAGGACCCCCCGCCGCGGCUGUUGUCGCGCACCUGGACCGGGGCCCAACCCCCAACGCCGUCGCAUCGGCUGACGCAGGUGCUGCAGCACCGAAUGGAGGGCGCGGCGGCACGGUACGGCACGUAUUACACCUUCUCGUGGAAGUUUAGCUUUGAUUUGGAGCUCGCCGUCGGCAACCUCGAGGAAGGGGCGCUGCACAUCGUCCGCGCGGCUCACAUCAUGGACAGGGAUGCAGGCUCUGACGCCGGCGACGCGGCUGACGAGGAGGACAGAGAGGGCAGCGCAGCGGACGGUGAGCGGGGCGUGCCGGCACCAGCCGCCAGCACCACCUCCGCCGCCCACCCGAGCUCGUAUCAGGUGGUGCAAGACUACAACGUUCGUCUGCCGUUGCACUCCCUUGUGAACGUCGAGUACGUGUCCGCCGCCACGUCGUCGCUCAGCGCGCUAGACAACGCAGCCGCCGUCACAGAAGCGGAGAUGAUUGCCGGGAGCAACGGCACGGGUAGCACCACAGCGGAGCAGUCGCUCUUUCAGCGAGAUGCAGAGCGGAGCCAGCGGCAGACAGCACUGCUUGGCGCCGCCGUGGACCCGAGGUGCCGCCUCGGCUUCUCUUCGGUCUCCCCAUCUCAGGCAAGCGCCGUUGCGGGGGUGUUGUGCCGACCCGCGAAUCCACUCUGGGCUGGCCUGGCUGUGGUGUCGAUGCCGCGUGGUGGCCGACAACACGAGCGCGGCCACAGCGGCGAUGCUCAUCGCUACGUCGGCCAGCUGGACCUGUUUGGCGCUGGCAGAGGCCACGCUGGGGCCUUUGGCGUCUUGUACUCCCCAGCGAGCAUGAGGGCCGGCGAUGGCGCAGCAGGUGUGAUUGGAGGUGCGGGCGCGAGUGGCUGUGCCGCAGACGGCGGCGGCCCACUGCUGAAGGAGAACGUGCUGGCGGCGGCGAUGCGGCAGCCGUUCUGCGGGGAUGCCGGCGCCAUUGGCGGCACGCGCCAUCAUCGGCGAUACACUGGAGAGAUGGGCAACAUCAGCGGCACCGAUGCUACGUCAAGCCGCUGGUUUUACUCAUCAGCCAUAACCUCCGUCUCCACGCAGCAGUCGCAUCAGCAGCGCCGGCGAGAGCAGCAACGGCGCCGCCGCGACCCGCGGGCACCCGCCAUCACAGUCCCCAGCUACGCGGCGAUGAGCACCAAGAACGAAAUUGCAAGUGCGGCGCUGAUCGCGGCUGAUCAGCGUGUUGACCUCCACGACGCGCUUCGAAUAGGACCUGGCAAUGUGUCAUGUGUCGCGGUAAUGAACGCGGCGGGCGAGGUAGCGUCCGUGCCGAUCGAGGUACGGGCCGUGUCCGCGUGGCACGAGGCGGGCAGCGUGUUCGUCGGUCUCGGCCCCACGCUGUACGCCGCCGACCUUGUCUCCAUCCAGGGCAUCGAGCAACUCAUGCGGCGGCGCUACGCUGCCGGCUUUGGUCUCUCGUCCGUGGCCAACCUCGCCGCGGUAAAGGAGGUGGGCGGCUUUGGCAGCGAGGAUGUGGCCAUGCUGUUCUCGUACGUGGUUACGCUGGAGGCGGUCUCGCUCGUGGCUUUGUCCGGGCCUGUGCCAUCGCUGAUGGAGCUGCUGCACAGCUCUCCUGUUACCGGGCGUGGUGCUCUACAAAGAGAGGCGGCGGCGAGGGUGCAGGCGCGUUUGGGGCCUGCGUGGCGCGCCAAGAUAGAGGCGUGCGUGUGCCACGAGGAUCUGUGCUGCCUUUUGGUGUUGCAGGUGCUGCGUUGGCUGCCGCCAUCACUGACGGAAGAGGCCGGGCAGCCGUGGCGAGGCAUAGCGCAGCCGCCGCUCCUUGCGGACACGACACCCGCGCUUGGGGAGAAUAGCACCAACGUGGACAUUGAGCGCGCCGUCGCGGUGGAGGUGACGCACGGGCGCCACACCGAGGCAGCUGGGCUGCUUCUCCGGUUUGCCAGCCGCUCUCCGAGCUACGGCGCCAUGGCGACCCUUCUUCGCCGUCGCGAGGAGGCGCAGGCCAUGGUGUGUAACAGCGACCCCCGCGUGUGUGCGGCGUUUCGUGCUUCCCUCACCCCGUGGUUGCUCGUCGUCUUCCACUGCUUGUGCGGCCCCUGCGAUGGAGCGCCGCACUACCAGUCGCACGGCGCGGCGGCGGACGAGAAGGGGCUACACGACGAUGCGGCCUCCGUACGGACGGUACUGCCCCCGCACCUCUACCGGCAUUCGGCUUUGCCCUUUUGGGAUCGCGUCGCCUUGGCAGUGGUCAUGGAGGCGGGCACGACGGCUGCCUUCACUCACGUCAUGCAGGACAUCCUCCUACGAGAGUGCAACCCGAUUCAGGCGCUGCUGCUCCAGUAUGGUAUUCACCUCCGCACCUAUGCCGCGAUGCAGGAGAUUGUCGACUGCACUGGGGACUUCCAGCUUGGCGCCUGCCUGUUCGCUCGUGUCGGCGUGCUCACGACGGCGGCGGCGCUCGCCUUUCCUUUCUUGCUGGAUGCCGAGGUGAGCGCCGCGGCGGCCACCGCGGCAGCGACGGAGCGGACGGCGGUUACCUUGCCGGCUGCGCGCAGUCACGACCUCUCUGCCAUUUCUGCCGGCUACCCGCCGUACAGUUACCGCGCGGACGGCGACUUUGGAGGCUACGGUGACGGAAACAACGAGGGCCAAGGACGCGACAGCGUCUACGGUUGCUCCCCGUUCUCGUACCUGCGGUCUAGCCACAGGAGGCGCAGUUCUGGUCAGCUGCCUUCCUCGUCAGCCGGUGAUGAACAGGGCUCCCUGGAGGACGGUGUGACGCACACGGCACGACUCGUCCUCAACAGCGCCCUGCCGCCGCCAGCACGGGCGCUAAGCGAGGAGAUAAACGGCGUCCGUAUGCUGCCGCACUCAGCGGAUGCUGCUCGCGUCAGUAGUAGCCUUCCUCCUGGACACGUCCUGCUCCAUGCUGUCUCGCUGAACGACGCAGUUUCGGGCAACGGUCAUGGGAACGGUGGCGGCGUCGGCAACGCCGCAGACGUCGACAGCGAUGACGCAGACGCGGAUGUGCCGUGGGUGUGGUGGGCCGCGGCGUACCGCUCUUUUCUCGACGACGAGCAGGCGUUUGUGCGCCGCACGACGUUUGAUGUGGAGUGUCGUCAGCUGCGCGGUGGCGCGUUCCUGGCUCGUGACGCCGCCGCCAUGAGGGUCUGCAGUGCAGACGCCGCUUCUUCGUCCGUUCCUGCCGUCGCCUCGGCGGCUGGAGACGCACGUGUUGGUCGUUACGGCAGCGGGUGCCACUCCCUUCACCGUACCCCGCCGCGAGAUACGAAGGCGGCGGGACUGCGCUGCCCCUCUCCCUCUCCCUCUCCAGCGGAUCUCGUGCCGAGGUCAGUUGCGCAGUGCGUGACUCGUCAUGUGACUGGGGCUGGCGUCGGCACGACGAGCGGUGGUGGUGGUAUCGGUGUUGGCCGCGGCCAUUCAGCAACAGCAUCCUGGUCCUCUCCGUCGGCUCCGUCGGCCUUCGCAGGUCCCUACGGCGGUGGUGCUGCACACGUCACCUCCGUUACACCCCCGUACGCAUCAGCUUCCAUGAGAUCACCAGAGCCAAAUCCCUGCGUAUGCGGGGAGCAGCACACUGGAACGCAGCUUAUCCGGUCACUGCUGAGCAUCUGCAGCACGACAACGACGCGGUGCUGCGUAUGCCUCGAGACCGUGCGGCUAGGUUCCAAGGACGUUGACACUGCCUUUGCGUGGUGCACAUCGUGCGACCACGGCGGCCAUGCGUACCACCUGCAAAGCUGGUUCCGCACACACCGACGCUGCCCCGUGAACGGAUGUGGCUGCCAUUGCGAUGAGGACUCGAACUUAUACUGAUUUCCAUCUUCCGCGAGCGCACAGCGGACCCGGAGAAGCACACGCGUGCGCAUGUGCGAAGCAAGCAGCAGCACCAGCACCAGCAAGAGAGAGGGGGAGGAGGGAGUAGGGUCUGUGUGGGAGGGGGCGGGAGUGAGAGACGGCGCUCGAUUAGUGAACCUUUCUGCGUCUGCAAUUUCGUCGGCAUCGUCGUCACCGUCACCAGGUGUCGGUGAACAUACAAAAAGGAGCAAAGGAAGAAAACAAGGAACAGACGAACGUGCGAUGAUACAGAUGUGCCGGAGACCGACAUCAGUGGUGGUGCUCGGCAGGCGACAAGGCGUCUUGCUCUCAGUUAUCUCCCCCCUAUCCGCAUCCUUAUCGUGCGAAGCGCGCUCAACGCCCUCACAGGCGAGUAUAGCACCUCCGCCCCGGACUCCCUUUCUCUCUCUCCUCCUCCCCACUACUACGCACAG
Molecule: unclassified non-coding RNA, 6326 nt
Filed under: Leishmania donovani
Lineage: Eukaryota; Euglenozoa; Kinetoplastea; Trypanosomatida; Trypanosomatidae
Description: gene:LdHU3.25.1610(CDS-product:hypothetical_prote in_conserved)
Source: RNAcentral